This 763-nucleotide ribosomal RNA is filed under the name Balistes vetula (queen triggerfish). Its description in RNAcentral is "partial 12S ribosomal RNA". It matches the Rfam family "Bacterial small subunit ribosomal RNA", at positions 20 to 1348 of the family's 1533-position model. Lineage: Eukaryota; Metazoa; Chordata; Actinopteri; Tetraodontiformes; Balistidae. The record is from RNAcentral.
UCUAUCAGCUUUAACCUAACUUACACAUGCAAGUCUCCGCACCCCUGUGAGAAUGCCCCCCAGUUCCCUGCUAGGGAACAAGGAGCCGGUAUCAGGCACAAUUUAGCCCAAGACACCUUGCUUAGCCACACCCCCAAGGGAACUCAGCAGUGACAGACAUUAAGCCAUAAGUGAAAACUUGACUUAGUUAAGGUUAGGGCCGGUAAAACUCGUGCCAGCCACCGCGGUUAUACGAGAGGCCCAAGUUGAUAGCCACCGGCGUAAAGAGUGGUUAAGAAACUACAAUAAAUUAGAGCCGAACGCUUUCAAGGCUGUUAUACGCACCCGAGAGUAAGAAGCACGACAACGAAAGUGACUCUAUUAAUUCUGAACCCACGAAAGCUAAGGUACAAACUGGGAUUAGAUACCCCACUAUGCCUAGCCUUAAACAUCGAUGGCCCCUUUAAGCCAUCCGCCAGGGAACUACGAGCAUUAGCUUAAAACCCAAAGGACUUGGCGGUGCUUUAGAUCCACCUAGAGGAGCCUGUUCUAGAACCGAUAACCCCCGUUCAACCUCACCUUUCCUUGUUCAACCCGCCUAUAUACCACCGUCGUCAGCUUAUCCUGUGAAGGCCUUUUAAUAAGCAAAAUUGGCAAAGCCUAAAACGUCAGGUCGAGGUGUAGCGUACGGAAAGGGAAGCAAUGGGCUACAUUACCUACACAGGUAACCACGGACGAUAUAUUGAAAGAUAAAUCCAAAGGAGGAUUUAGUAGUAAGAGAAGA